GACGGGCCACACUCUAGGGGAGCCAGUAGCCCUGCACACAGGCAAAUGGCCGGAAUGGAUUUCUUUGCAGGAAACGGAAAAGGCAGGGAACCUCCAGAGCCCUCACUCCCUGCAGGCCCCCAGGUGUCUCCUGGGGACCUGGUGUGCCUUGGGCGUCACUGCUGCCCUGGCCCGUGCUCAGAUGCAGCAGGACGGCUCUCCCAGGAAGCGGCUAUGCUGGGAGCCAGGAGCUGAGGGCCUGCAUGCGCGGCCCCCUCCUCACUCUGUCGGCCAAACUCCCAUGCGGAGGAGGACUUGGGUUUUGGCUGACAUGAGGCUUCUUCUGGGGUGUGCCCUGAACCCCCAGAUGGUAAGGUACUGUGCCCUGGGUCUUGCACUGUUGUAAUAAUGUAGCUUCUGUCUUUGUUUGCUCUGGGCUCGCUGCUCUGGGCCUAUUCUGUCUCCUCCGCUGCCACCAAGUGUCCUAAGGACAGGGACCGUGUCCCCAGGUACUUCUGCCUCCCAGCCCCUGGCAGGGAGUAGACCCUCACCAAAUACUGUACAGGCACACCUCGUUUUAUCACACUUUGCUUUAUUGUGCUUCGCAGAUGUUGCAUUUUUUACAAAAUAAAGGUUUGUAGCAACCCUAUAGGUGCCAUUUUUCCAACAACACUUGCUCACUUUGCAUCUCUGCAUCAUAUUCUCGUAAUUUUCACAAUAUCUCAAACUUUUUCAUUAUUAUAUUUGUUACAGUGACCUAUGAUCAGUGAUCUUUGAUGUUACUGUUGCAAGAAGAUUAACAACUCACUGAAGGCUCAGAUGAUAGCACUUUUUAGCAGGAAAGUACUUUGAAAUCAAGUCGUCUGGAACCGAACCUGCAACAUCUCCAAGGUGUGCCUGUAUUUGUGGAGUGCGUGAAAACAUGUCUCCAAAGAAUAAUGGAACAGUCACAGGAGUUUUGUAGCAUCUGAGGAGGCUCCACAGCCACGCCCAG
Balaenoptera musculus (blue whale) is the source of this 973-nucleotide long non-coding RNA. RefSeq lists it as uncharacterized. NCBI's taxonomy places the organism in Eukaryota, Metazoa, Chordata, Mammalia, Artiodactyla, Balaenopteridae. The record is from RefSeq and is a predicted model, not a curated record. The transcript has 3 exons.